GGGCAUCCCGAUGCAGCCAAAGGAGCAAUCCGCUGGAAGAUGGGCUCGCGGCCGAUUAGCUAGUUGGUGGGGCAACGGCCCACCAAGGCGACGAUCGGUAGCCGGACUGAGAGGUUGAUCGGCCACAUUGGGACUGAGACCCGGCCCAGACUCCUACGGGAGGCAGCAGUGGGGGAUAUUGCACAAUGGAGGAAACUCUGAUGCAGCGACGCCGCGUGAGGGAAGACGGUCUUCGGAUUGUAAACCUCUGUCUUUGGGGAAGAAAAUGACGGUACCCAAAGAGGAAGCUCCGGCUAACUACGUGCCAGCAGCCGCGGUAAUACGUAGGGAGCGAGCGUUGUCCGGAAUUACUGGGUGUAAAGGGAGCGUAGGCGGGCGAGAAAGUUGAAUGUUAAAUCUACCGGCUUAACUGGUAGCUGCGUUCAAAACUUCUUGUCUUGAGUGAAGUAGAGGCAGGCGGAAUUCCUAGUGUAGCGGUGAAAUGCGUAGAUAUUAGGAGGAACACCAGUGGCGAAGGCGGCCUGCUGGGCUUUAACUGACGCUGAGGCUCGAAAGCGUGGGGAGCAAACAGGAUUAGAUACCCUGGUAGUCCACGCUGUAAACGAUGAUUACUAGGUGUGGGGGGACUGACCCCUUCCGUGCCGCAG
This 647-nucleotide ribosomal RNA is filed under the name uncultured bacterium. Its description in RNAcentral is "bacterial SSU rRNA". It matches the Rfam family "Bacterial small subunit ribosomal RNA", at positions 186 to 851 of the family's 1533-position model. The record is from RNAcentral.